RNAcentral lists this long non-coding RNA (1284 nucleotides) under Oryctolagus cuniculus (rabbit). RNAcentral describes it as "lncRNA (ENSOCUG00000037247.1)". The record is from RNAcentral. Lineage: Eukaryota; Metazoa; Chordata; Mammalia; Lagomorpha; Leporidae.
AUGUGGUACAUUUGUUCAGGUGUGCUCCGUGGGCCAGAAUGUGGUACAUUUGUUCAGGUGUGCUCCGUGUCUCAGAAUGUGGUACAUUUGUUCAGGUGUGCUCCGUGUCUCAGAAGGUGGUACAUUUGUUCAGGUGUGCUCCGUGUCUCAGAAUGUGGUACAUUUGUUCAGGUGUGCUCCGUGGGGCAGACGGUGGUACAUUUGUUCAGGUGUGCUCCGUGUCUCAGAAUGUGGUACAUUUGUUCAGGUGUGCUCCAUGUCUCAGAAUGUGGUACAUUUGUUCAGGUGUGCUCCGUGGGGCAGAAGGUGGUGCAUUUGUUCAGGUGUGCUCCGUGUCUCAGAAGGUGGUACAUUUGUUCAGGUGUGCUCCGUGGGGCAGAAGGUGGUACAUUUGUUCAGGUGUGCUCCGUGUCUCAGAAUGUGGUACAUUUGUUCAGGUGUGCUCCGUGUCUCAGAAUGUGGUACAUUUGUUCAGGUGUGCUCCGUGGGGCAGAAGGUGGUACAUUUGUUCAGGUGUGCUCCGUGUCUCAGAAUGUGGUGCAUUUGUUCAGUGUGCUCCGUGUCUCAGAAUGUGGUACAUUUGUCCAGGUGUGCUCUGUGGGGCAGAAGGUGGUACAUUUGUUCAGGUGUGCUCCGUGUCUCAGAAUGUGGUACAUUUGUUCAGGUGUGCUCCGUGGGGCAGAAGGUGGUACAUUUGUUCAGGUGUGCUCCGUGGGGCAGAAGGUGGUACAUUUGUUCAGGUGUGCUCCGUGUCUCAGAAUGUGGUACAUUUGUCCAGGUGUGCUCCGUGUCUCAGAAUGUGGUACAUUUGUUCAGGUGUGCUCCGUGGGGCAGAAGGUGGUACAUUUGUUCAGGUGUGCUCCGUGUCUCAGAAUGUGGUACAUUUGUUCAGGUGUGCUCCGUGGGCCAGAAUGUGGUACAUUUGUUCAGGUGUGCUCCGUGUCUCAGAAUGUGGUACAUUUGUUCAGGUGUGCUCCGUGGGGCAGACGGUGGUACAUUUGUUCAGGUGUGCUCCGUGUCUCAGAAUGUGGUACAUUUGUCCAGGUGUGCUCCGUGUCUCAGAAUGUGGUACAUUUGUCCAGGUGUGCUCCGUGGGGCAGAAGGUGGUACAUUUGUUCAGGUGUGCUCCGUGUCUCAGAAUGUGGUGCAUUUGUUCAGUGUGCUCCGUGGACCAGAAUGUGGUAUAUUUUGGUGAAUGUACCAUGUGAGCUUGACAACCAUGUGUGUUGUGUUGUGCUGUUGGAGGAAUUAGUUGACAGGUGUCUGUUAUAUCGAAUUGCUUGA